GAGGUGGUAGCCUGGCAGGGUAGAGGGCACGCCGACCUGGCGACCUCACGGUGGAAAGGGGAAGGGGAGCGAGAGGGCCCGGGGGAGCGGACGGGACGGCGGCACGGCAUGAAGAGGAGCCGCCGAGGGUCAGGGUUAGCGGAGGGGCGGGAGGGUGCUGUCGCCGAGGGUCAUCCGUCAUCGGGGGGAUCGGUGGGGGCUGCCGCUGAGGGUGAUAGGUGGGGUGGGUGUUUGGGUUAGGGGUAAGGUGCGCGCAGCGGGGGGUAGCGGCAAGGUGAAGUUGGAGUAGCGCAGGGGCGGCAGACGUGAGGCAGGUGUUAAAGCCGAUAGCCUAAGGCUCUCUAUUAAAACUACACCAGCUAGCUCUGGCUUUAGACUCAAACGAACCUCCUCGGACCACUCCAGGAUACGACGGAAGCGUCCUACUUUCCGCCACAAGACGUAUCCGAGGAACAGUUGUUCGAUACGAACCCGGAAAAUAAUCAAGAGGAGCAACACGGCUAACAGUAAAACAACGACCCGUGUUGAGGUCUUGUCGACUUUGAAGAGAGGGUUCCAAAGGAUGUCGUCGUACCUGACCUUGUAUAACCUCUAUUACAUAGUCGAGAUCAACACGGACGUCCAGGUCGAAUAUUGCUGCUGUGAGUGUGCUCAUAUUGGUCUGCCUUGUUUACCUUGUUUCUGACAUUGAUACGUUUCCCUUUCACCCACCGUCUACUCUUUGCCGGUGAGAUAAGUCCAUUACUCACGUUCGUUACCGACAGGUUUUACACCCGAACAGCUUACUACGUUGCGUGUCUAAAGAAGAUACUCUCAAUGGCCACCGUCGGCGUGCCAACACUCUACGGACUCAAAAGUCCAGGAUUGAACAACUCGUCCGACUCCGUAUUUUGAGAACGAAAACACCCACUAAGGGAGCCCUCUGUCGUUAAAGUCAGGUAGUACACAUAUCGUUGUCCACCAUUUAUGUCGGGUCUACAACUUCUACAACCAACCUUUAUACCGGAACAGUUUCGAGGUCCACGAAACUCUGGACUACCCACCCGAAUAGCUAAAGGUCUCUGAUUGUGGUGAUAGGAAAUGAUGACCAGACGAUCGGAUAGACUUGACCUUGGAAACUUGUGUUGUUUAAGUCACUGAUCGAUACGCAACGUAGAACUAGCCGGUCAUUGUAAGAACUUCUUCAUAAAGGUACCAAAACUACAAGAUCAUGACUUGUGACCAGUAGUGACCUUGUCUCCCUUUAAGUUACCUUUAGUAACCCUUAACAUACGGUUACCCCUCGGACAUCCCUUUCCAGCUGAACGUCUAGAGUUGGCACGUUUCUUAGAAUGUGACAUAUCGUAACGGUCCACCCACCUAAGUCUUGAGCGUUCGGCAGGAGUCUACUUUCGAAAAGACUCCUGUUACAGUGGCUCCGUAAAACAUUUACCGCUAACCUUGUGACCACCUUCAACACCAUUAUCGCAAGGGAAAAGAUUACCUUCGCUCCAGAACGUCCUAGUAAGUUCACUGAACGGACGUCUCGCACGACAUUUACCUUGAGUCCAAUUCGAAAACCUAUAAUGAAGAUGCAGUGUUGAUGCUCUACUCCCCGUGUAGAGUUUAGCAUGAAAGUCUCGAGGUUGUCCGUAAGUACUAACGAACGUGACCACGGAAGGACCAUAUGGUCUAUACACCUUACUCGAGGAGAAACGUGUCUAAAUCAUGGACAUAUGACGUGAACUCAUUCCCGUAAAAAGAGGGUCUCCGGGUUCUUAGAUAAUUACAAGGGCGACCACUAGACAUGUCCCACUUGACGAAACAUGGUCACAAUAAACACUUGGUAGGUACGCGUCCGCCACAAAAACCAGUAGGUAGGUACGCAACCACCAAUUGUCACAGUUCUACUAUCGUAAGAAAUGUGACAUAAUGUCAACCAAAGUCUAAGGAUCGGGGCAGAGUCUGGUCUAUGCCAUAAUCAACGAUGUCUCGUUAUAUACAUCACGAGGGGUCCGUGCAGUUUGGAAGGAAAAGAAAUGACAUUUUACGGUAAUAGGUCAAGUGUUACACGUCGUAUAUAAGACAUUUUUACAAGUAUGUUUAACUGGUUUCACUGUAUACAAAAAGUCUAAUAUUUCACCUUGAAGACCAACUACAGACAGAGAAUAGGUACACUAACAGGUCACAUUAACUAAAUAGAAAGUCGUCGCAUGAUGAAGGAACCAUGAUGCAAACAAGAGCUUAUUAGUUUACCGAGUCCGAACGAUGUUUGUAUCCACCAAGCCCCGACUGUUUACCGUAUACGUCACUACAGUCAAAAAGUCCUUUUUCCUACUUUUCUUGUAUCCUUAUUCGUAACUUGGAUUGGUUCGUAGUUAGACGUUGAUCCAUCCUAAACCGUUACGAAGGAAACGUAGUAUGAUCGAAACCAAGUCUAAGGAUCGAAGACCCUAAUCACACCUUAAUCGACGCAUUUUAGCUGCAACUUCGAUCACAUUUUUACCAUGUCAAAACGUACACAUAGUAUAUAAAACAUUUAUUCGAGUAUGUUCAUAUGUUAAACUGGUUUC
Molecule: ribosomal RNA, 2552 nt
Filed under: Triticum aestivum (bread wheat)
Lineage: Eukaryota; Viridiplantae; Streptophyta; Magnoliopsida; Poales; Poaceae
Description: partial small subunit ribosomal RNA
Source: RNAcentral